This 269-nucleotide ribosomal RNA is filed under the name uncultured bacterium. RNAcentral describes it as "partial 16S ribosomal RNA". It matches the Rfam family "Bacterial small subunit ribosomal RNA", at positions 505 to 776 of the family's 1533-position model. The record is from RNAcentral.
GUGCCAGCGCGGUAAUACGUAGGCAGCGAGCGUUUGUUCGGAGUUACUGGGCGUAAAGAGUGCGUAGGCGGUUUUCUAAGUUUGGUGUGAAAUCUCCCGGCUUAACUGGGAGGGUGCGCCGAAGACUGGAAGGCUUGAGUAUGGGAGAGGUAAGCGGAAUUCCUGGUGUAGCGGUGAAAUGCGCAGAUAUCAGGAAGAACACCCGUGGCGAAGGCGGCUCUCUGGGACGGUACUGACGCUGAGACGCGAAAGCGUGGGGAGCGAACAGG